GCCGAAGUGGCGGAAUGGCAGACGCAGAGGACUUAAAAUCCUCCGGCCUCUGGCUGUGCGGGUUCGACUCCCGCCUUCGGCACCA
This 85-nucleotide transfer RNA is filed under the name Eubacteriales bacterium. RNAcentral describes it as "tRNA-Leu". It matches the Rfam family "tRNA". From Rfam's summary of the family: Transfer RNA (tRNA) molecules are approximately 80 nucleotides in length. Their secondary structure includes four short double-helical elements and three loops (D, anti-codon, and T loops). The record is from RNAcentral. Lineage: Bacteria; Bacillati; Bacillota; Clostridia; Eubacteriales.